Molecule: ribosomal RNA, 253 nt
Filed under: uncultured bacterium
Lineage: Bacteria
Description: partial 16S ribosomal RNA
Rfam family: Bacterial small subunit ribosomal RNA
Source: RNAcentral
GACGUAGGGCGCGAGCGUUGUCCGGAUUUAUUGGGCGUAAAGAGCUCGUAGGCGGCUUGUUGCGUCGACUGUGAAAACCCGCGGCUUAACUGCGGGCUUGCAGUUGAUACGGGCAGGCUAGAGUUCGGUAGGGGAGACUGGAAUUCCUGGUGUAGCGGUGAAAUGCGCAGAUAUCAGGAGGAACACCGGUGGCGAAGGCGACGUGCUGGGUUGCACCUGACGCUGAGAUGCGAAAGUGUGGGGAGCAAACGGG